GCUGGAGUGGCGGAAUUGGCAGACGCGCUACGUUCAGGGCGUAGUCCUCGUUCGGGGGUGUGGGUUCGACUCCCACCUUCAGCACCA
RNAcentral lists this transfer RNA (87 nucleotides) under Chloroflexota bacterium. Its description in RNAcentral is "Chloroflexi bacterium (groundwater metagenome) tRNA-Leu". It matches the Rfam family "tRNA". Rfam says of the family: Transfer RNA (tRNA) molecules are approximately 80 nucleotides in length. Lineage: Bacteria; Bacillati; Chloroflexota. The record is from RNAcentral.